RNAcentral lists this transfer RNA (77 nucleotides) under Olleya sp. Hel_I_94. RNAcentral describes it as "tRNA-Met". It matches the Rfam family "tRNA". Rfam says of the family: Transfer RNA (tRNA) molecules are approximately 80 nucleotides in length. Their secondary structure includes four short double-helical elements and three loops (D, anti-codon, and T loops). Lineage: Bacteria; Pseudomonadati; Bacteroidota; Flavobacteriia; Flavobacteriales; Flavobacteriaceae. The record is from RNAcentral.
GGCGAGGUAGCUCAGUUGGUUAGAGCGUUGGAUUCAUAACCCAGAGGUCAGGGGAUCGUGCCCCCUUCUCGCUACAA